CCCUUAGAUGUUCUGGGCCGCACGCGCGCUACACUGAUGCAUUCAACGAGUCUAAAACCUGGUCUGAUAGGGCUGGGUAAUCUUUUGAAUGUGCAUCGUGAUUGGGAUAGAUGAUUGCAAUUCUUCAUCUUCAACGAGGAAUGCCUAGUAAACGCAAGUCAUCAGCUUGCAUUGAUUACGUCCCUGCCCUUUGUACACACCGCCCGUCGCUCCUACUGAUUGAAUGUUCCGAUGAAUACCAUGGACUGAGAGUAUGAAUGGGUUCGCCUAUUUCUGCUUCUCGGGAAGUGGAGUAAAUCUUAACAUUUAGAGGAAGGAGAAGUCGUAACA
This 330-nucleotide ribosomal RNA is filed under the name uncultured eukaryote. RNAcentral describes it as "partial 18S ribosomal RNA". It matches the Rfam family "Eukaryotic small subunit ribosomal RNA", at positions 1470 to 1796 of the family's 1831-position model. The record is from RNAcentral.